RNAcentral lists this transfer RNA (64 nucleotides) under Heptageniidae sp. YW03BF02. Its description in RNAcentral is "tRNA-Phe". Lineage: Eukaryota; Metazoa; Arthropoda; Insecta; Ephemeroptera; Heptageniidae. The record is from RNAcentral.
GUCCAAAUAGCUUAUAUAGAGUAUGACACUGAAGAUGUUAGGGAGAUUUUAGGAUCUUUGGACA